AGAACGAACGCUGGCGGCAUGCCUAACACAUGCAAGUCGAACGCGUGUAGCGAUACACGAGUGGCGGACGGGUGAGUAACGCGUGGGAACCUGCCCUGGAGUGUGGGAUAACCGAGGGAAACUUCGGCUAAUACCGCAUACGACCUGAGGGUGAAAGAUUUAUCGCUCUAGGAGGGGCCCGCGUCGGAUUAGCUAGUUGGUGGGGUAAAGGCCUACCAAGGCAGUGAUCCGUAGCUGGUCUGAGAGGAUGAUCAGCCACACUGGGACUGAGACACGGCCCAGACUCCUACGGGAGGCAGCAGUGGGGAAUAUUGGACAAUGGGGGGCAACCCUGAUCCAGCAAUGCCGCGUGAGUGAUGAAGGCCUUAGGGUUGUAAAGCUCUUUCGCGCGCGACGAUGAUGACGGUAGCGCGAGAAGAACGCCCCGGCUAACUUCGUGCCAGCAGCCGC
Molecule: ribosomal RNA, 450 nt
Filed under: uncultured bacterium
Lineage: Bacteria
Description: SSU rRNA
Rfam family: Bacterial small subunit ribosomal RNA
Source: RNAcentral